CCCGCACAAGCGGUGGAGCAUGUGGUUAAUUCGAUGAUACGCGAGGAACCUUACCUGGGCUCAAAUGUAUGUUGACGUAUUCUGAAAGGGAUACUUCUUCGGACAAUAUACAAGGUGCUGCAUGGUUGUCGUCAGCUCGUGCCGUGAGGUGUCGGGUUAAGUCCCGUAACGAGCGCAACCCCUAUCAUUAGUUGCCAUCAGGUCAAGCUGGGGACUCUAAUGAAACUGCCUACGCAAGUAGUGAGGAAGGUGGGGAUGACGUCAAAUCAGCACGGCCCUUACGUCCAGGGCGACACACGUGCUACAAUGGCCGGCACAACGGGAAGCGAGUUCGCGAGGACGAGCGGAUCCCUCAAAGCCGGUCGCAGUUCGGAUUGAAGUCUGCAACUCGACUUCAUGAAGCUGGAAUCGCUAGUAAUCGUGGAUCAGCCAAGCCGCGGUGAAUACGUUCCCGGGCCUU
Molecule: ribosomal RNA, 460 nt
Filed under: uncultured Sphingobacteriales bacterium
Lineage: Bacteria; Pseudomonadati; Bacteroidota; Sphingobacteriia; Sphingobacteriales
Description: bacterial SSU rRNA
Rfam family: Bacterial small subunit ribosomal RNA
Source: RNAcentral